This 495-nucleotide ribosomal RNA is filed under the name uncultured bacterium. Its description in RNAcentral is "partial 16S ribosomal RNA". It matches the Rfam family "Bacterial small subunit ribosomal RNA", at positions 28 to 507 of the family's 1533-position model. The record is from RNAcentral.
GACGAACGCUGGCGGCGUGCCUAAUACAUGCAAGUAGAACGCUGAAGGAGGAGCUUGCUUCUCUGGAUGAGUUGCGAACGGGUGAGUAACGCGUAGGUAACCUGCCUGGUAGCGGGGGAUAACUAUUGGAAACGAUAGCUAAUACCGCAUAAGAGUAGAUGUUGCAUGACAUUUGCUUAAAAGGUGCAAUUACAUCACUACCAGAUGGACCUGCGUUGUAUUAGCUAGUUGGUGGGGUAACGGCUCACCAAGGCGACGAUACAUAGCCGACCUGAGAGGGUGAUCGGCCACACUGGGACUGAGACACGGCCCAGACUCCUACGGGAGGCAGCAGUAGGGAAUCUUCGGCAAUGGACGGAAGUCUGACCGAGCAACGCCGCGUGAGUGAAGAAGGGUUUCGGAUCGUAAAGCUCUGUUGUAAGAGAAGAACGAGUGUGAGAGUGGAAAGUUCACACUGUGACGGUAUCUGACCAGAAAGGGACGGCUAACUACGUG